Molecule: ribosomal RNA, 468 nt
Filed under: uncultured bacterium
Lineage: Bacteria
Description: partial 16S ribosomal RNA
Rfam family: Bacterial small subunit ribosomal RNA
Source: RNAcentral
GACGAACGCUGGCGGCGUGCUUAACACAUGCAAGUCGAACGGAAAGGCCCUGCUUUUGUGGGGUGCUCGAGUGGCGAACGGGUGAGUAACACGUGAGUAACCUGCCCUUGACUUUGGGAUAACUUCAGGAAACUGGGGCUAAUACCGGAUAGGAGCUCCUGCUGCAUGGUGGGGGUUGGAAAGUUUCGGCGGUUGGGGAUGGACUCGCGGCUUAUCAGCUUGUUGGUGGGGUAGUGGCUUACCAAGGCUUUGACGGGUAGCCGGCCUGAGAGGGUGACCGGGCACAUUGGGACUGAGAUACGGCCCAGACUCCUACGGGAGGCAGCAGUGGGGAAUAUUGCACAAUGGGCGGAAGCCUGAUGCAGCAACGCCGCGUGCGGGAUGACGGCCUUCGGGGUGUAAACCGCUUUCGCCUGUGACGAAGCGUGAGUGACGGUAAUGGGUAAAGAAGCAACGGCUAACUACGUG